GAGGGCAUAGCUUAGUGGUAGAGCACAUGCUUAGCAUGCACAAGGUCCUGGGUUCAAUCCCCAGUACCUCCA
RNAcentral lists this transfer RNA (72 nucleotides) under Camelus bactrianus (Bactrian camel). It matches the Rfam family "tRNA". Rfam says of the family: Transfer RNA (tRNA) molecules are approximately 80 nucleotides in length. Lineage: Eukaryota; Metazoa; Chordata; Mammalia; Artiodactyla; Camelidae. RNAcentral also lists the same sequence under 3 other names. The record is from Rfam by way of RNAcentral.